This 506-nucleotide ribosomal RNA is filed under the name uncultured bacterium. RNAcentral describes it as "partial 16S ribosomal RNA". It matches the Rfam family "Bacterial small subunit ribosomal RNA", at positions 29 to 523 of the family's 1533-position model. The record is from RNAcentral.
AGUGAACGCUGGCGGUAGGCCUAACACAUGCAAGUCGAACGGCAGCACAGGAGAGCUUGCCCUCUGGGUGGCGAGUGGCGGACGGGUGAGGAAUACAUCGGAAUCUACUCUGUCGUGGGGGAUAACGUAGGGAAACUUACGCUAAUACCGCAUACGACCUACGGGUGAAAGCAGGGGACCUUAGGUCCUUGCGCGAUUGAAUGAGCCGAUGUCGGAUUAGCUAGUUGGCGGGGUAAAGGCCCACCAAGGCGACGAUCCGUAGCUGGUCUGAGAGGAUGAUCAGCCACACUGGAACUGAGACACGGUCCAGACUCCUACGGGAGGCAGCAGUGGGGAAUAUUGGACAAUGGGCGCAAGCCUGGUCCAGCCAUACCGCGUGGGUGAAGAAGGCCUUCGGGUUGUAAAGCCCUUUUGUUGGGAAAGAAAUCCAGCUGGCUAAUACCCGGUUGGGAUGACGGUACCCAAAGAAUAAGCACCGGCUAACUUCGUGCCAGCCGCCGCCGUAA